GAUGAACGCUAGCGGCAGGCUUUAACACAUGCAAGUCGAGGGGCAGCGCGAUGUAGCAAUACGUUGGCGGCGACCGGCGCACGGGUGCGUAACACGUAUGGAAUCUGCCCUUUACUGGGAAAUAACCCGGAGAAAUCCGGACUAAUAUCCCAUAAUAGACGAGGUGGCAUCACCUUGUUUUGAAAGCUCCGGCGGUAAAGGAUGACCAUGCGCCCGAUUAGCUAGUUGGUGAGGUAACGGCUCACCAAGGCUACGAUCGGUAGGGGGCCUGAGAGGGUUAUCCCCCACACUGGUACUGAGACACGGACCAGACUCCUACGGGAGGCAGCAGUGAGGAAUAUUGCGCAAUGGAGGCAACUCUGACGCAGCCAUGCCGCGUGCAGGAAGAAGGCGCUACGCGUUGUAAACUGCUUUUAUCCGGGAAGAAACCCCAGGACGUGUCCUGGGUUGACGGUACCGGAGGAAUAAGCACCGGCUAACUUCGUG
RNAcentral lists this ribosomal RNA (486 nucleotides) under uncultured bacterium. Its description in RNAcentral is "bacterial SSU rRNA". It matches the Rfam family "Bacterial small subunit ribosomal RNA", at positions 28 to 507 of the family's 1533-position model. The record is from RNAcentral.